Long non-coding RNA from Mytilus californianus (California mussel), 607 nucleotides. RefSeq lists it as uncharacterized. NCBI's taxonomy places the organism in Eukaryota, Metazoa, Mollusca, Bivalvia, Mytilida, Mytilidae. The transcript has 4 exons. The record is from RefSeq and is a predicted model, not a curated record.
AUUUUAUCAAUUUUUCGUAUAAACAUGGAUGUUUCUAUUUCGAAUAUGUUCUUUUUCGUCACUUUUGUUUCAUUCAUAUUAUUAGGUUUUGGAGCCAAUAUUAACAGGUAUCAAGUCGAUGAUCUUUCUAAAAAUCCGUUUGGUUUUUUAACGGAUUUCCUGAAUUUACUGAAAGACGAUGAGAGAAAUUUAACAGUCAUCCCUCUGGUUAUGUCGAAUAUAAGCAAAGAAAUAAGCGAGAAACUACACGAUCAAAUGAAGUUCUCGAACCACAUCGAUACCAUAUUGGACCAAUAUCCGGAUAAUUAUAACAAAUCUUUCUCAAAUGUCAAAAACAUAAAUGGGACAAAAGUAAUGACCAACACAACGAUCUUCAAGAGUAAGGACAACGACUCGAUGACCGGAAUGUAUAUGAAAGAGAAUAUUGUUGAUGGAAAAUCGAAGCUCUUGCAAGCACGUAUGAUCUUACAUCCAAAGUAUUCAGCGAUGAACAAUACAAUUUGAUGACAGAAACCGACCAAUUGAAGCAAAAAGAUACUUACUGACUUUACUUAUUAUAGUCAUUACAUUCUGUACUUAAGUUUAAUAUUAAACGAGAAGAAAAAUA